AUGGAGGUCGUCAUGGGUGCCAUGGGCAGCCUGCUCCCCAAGCUGGGCCAGCUGCUCAUGGAUGAGUACAACCUGCACAAGCGCGUCAGGAAAGAUGUUGAGUUCCUCAGGAAGGAGCUUGAGAGCAUGCACGCUGCCCUCAUCAAGGUUGGCGACGUGCCGCCGGACCAGCUCGACAGGCAGGUCAAGCUCUGGGCCGACGAGGUCAGAGAGCUCUCCUACAACAUGGAGGAUGUCGUCGACAAGUUUCUCGUACGCGUCGAAGGUAAUCAGCAGCCUCACGACAACACCGGCAGAUUCAAGGAGCUCAAAAACAAGAUGGUCAGCUUGUUCAAGAAAGGCAAAAAUCACCAUCGGAUAGCUGACGCCGUCAAGGAAAUCAAGGAGCAACUCCAGGAGGUGGCUGCUAGGCGUGGCAGGAACAAGCUCGAUGGUAUUGCUUUUAAUCCCAACGAAGCAAUUGCUAUCGAUCCUCGUCUUCGGGCUUUGUACACAGAAGCGACAGAGCUCAUUGGCAUCUAUGGGAAGAGGGAUCAGGACCUCUUGAGUUUGCUCUCUAUUGAGGGCGACGAUGCAUCUAACAAGAAACUGAAGAAGAUCUCCAUUGUUGGAUUUGGAGGGUUGGGAAAGACCACACUUGCUAGAGCAGUAUAUGAGAAGAUUAAAGGUGAUUUUGAUUGUCGGGCAUUUGUUCCCGUCGGUCAGAAUCCUGAUGUCAGGAAGGUUUUUAGGGAUAUCCUUAUUGAUCUCGGAAAAUCCCACUCAGAUGUUGUCAUGUUGGAUGAAAGGCAGCUUAUCAACAAGCUUCAUGAAUUCCUCGAGAACAAGAGGUAUCUGGUCAUAAUUGAUGAUAUAUGGGAUGAAAAAUUGUGGGAAGGCAUCAACUUGGCUUUCUCUAAUAGGAAUAAUCUAGGCAGUCGGCUAAUCACCACAACCCGCAUAGUCAGUGUAUCCAAUUCAUGUUGCUCGUCAGCUAAUGAUUUAGUUUAUCAAAUGAAACCUCUUUCUACGGAUGAUUCCAGAAGGCUCUUUCAUAAGAGAAUAUUUCCCGACAAGAGUGGAAGUCCAAAUGAAUUUGAACAAGUGUCUAAAGAUAUAUUGAAAAAAUGUGGUGGGGUACCACUAGCCAUCAUUACUAUUGCUAGUGCUUUGGCUAGUGGCCACCAGGUGAAACCAAAGCGUGAGUGGGACAUUCUGCUCCAGUCCCUUGGCUCUGGACUAACAGAAGAUAACAGUUUAGAGGAGAUGCGGAGAAUACUCUCAUUCAGCUAUUAUAAUCUACCCUCUCAUCUGAAAACUUGUCUAUUAUACCUAUGUGUAUAUCCAGAAGAUAGCAAGAUUGAUAGAGAUACACUGAUACGGAAGUGGGUGGCUGAAGGAUUUGUCCGUUGUGGGAACCAAGGGACUAGCCUGUUUUUGGUCGGAUUAAACUACUUCAACCAGCUCAUUGAUAGAAGUAUGAUCCAGCCAAUAUAUGAUCUUCUAGGCCAGGUACAUGCUUGCUGUGUACAUGAUAUUGUUCUUUAUUUUAUCUGCAACUUGUCACAUGAAGCGAAGUUUGUUAAUGUAUUGGAUGGUACUGGGAUGUCUUUUCAAGGCAAUGUUCGUCGUUUGUCCCUUCAAGAUAGAAAUAAAGAUCAUCAAGGCACACCUAUCAGAAAUUUCACGGGUAUAUCACGAGUGAGGUCCAUUACUGUCUUUACAUCUGCUAUUAAUAUCAUGCCAGCCCUGUCCAGGUUUGAAGUUCUGCGUGUACUUGAAUUGUCGGGCUGUAAUCUGGGAGAAAGUAGUAGCCUGCAACUUAACCUCAAGGGUGUUGGACACUUAAUUCACCUGAGGUAUCUUGGUCUAGCAGGUACUGGAAUAAGGGAACUCUCGCCCGAGAUAGGAAACCUACUGUUUUUGGAGGUGUUGGAUCUUGAAAGAAAUUAUGAGCUAGAUGAAUUGCCUUCCACUCUUUUUAAAUUGAGAAGAUUAAUCUACCUAAAUGUUUAUCUCAAUAAGGUGGUUCCAACUCCUGGUGUGUUGCAGAAUCUGACAUCCAUUGAAGUGUUGAGGGGGAUCCUGGUCUCUGUGAACAUUAUUGCACGAGAGCUUGGCAACCUUGCAAAGAUGAGGGAGCUUCUGAUUCACUUCAAGGAUGGUAGUUUGGAUUUGUAUGAAGGUUUCGUGAAGUCUCUGGGCAACCUACUUCACAUCGAAAGCCUAUAUAUUAAUUGCGAUUCCGGAGAAACAUCUUUUGAACUGAUGGAUCUCUUGGGAGAAUGCUGGAUGCCUCCUGUACAUCUCUGCAAAUUUGUGUCUUGGAUGCCCAGCCAACUCUCUGCACUGCGAGGGUGGACAAAGAGAGACCCCUCGCAUCUCUCGAACCUCUCCCAGUUAAUCCUCUUGUCAGUGAAGGAAGUGCAGCAGCAGGACGUGGAUAUCAUUGGGGGGUUGCUGUCCCUUCGCUUUCUUUGGAUACAGACCACCCACCAAACACAACGGCUGCUUGUGAUCGGUGCAGAUGGGUUUCGCUGUAUGUCAGAAUUUCGCUUGGAUUGUGGAUCAGGAGCGCAGAUAAUGUUUGAACCAGGGGCUUUACCGAGGGCAGAAUCAGUUGCGUUCAGUCUUGGCGUGCUGGUGGCGAAAGAGGAUGGUAACUGUCGUUUCGACUUGGGCCUGCAGGGGAACCUGCUCUCCCUUCGGCGGGAGGUCCGGGUUCAUAUGUAUUGUGGUAGAGCGAGGGUUUGGGAGGCCAGGGAAGCGGAGGCUGCAGUGACGCAUGCCCUCCACGCCCAUCCCAACCAUCCCCCGCUUUAUAUUGAUAUGCUCCCACAUAUAGCAGAAGGUGCUCAUGAUGACGAUUUGUGUGAGGACGAGGUGGAGAACUGA
This 2874-nucleotide ribosomal RNA is filed under the name Triticum aestivum (bread wheat). RNAcentral describes it as "partial small subunit ribosomal RNA". Lineage: Eukaryota; Viridiplantae; Streptophyta; Magnoliopsida; Poales; Poaceae. The record is from RNAcentral.